This 783-nucleotide ribosomal RNA is filed under the name uncultured bacterium. Its description in RNAcentral is "bacterial SSU rRNA". It matches the Rfam family "Bacterial small subunit ribosomal RNA", at positions 8 to 796 of the family's 1533-position model. The record is from RNAcentral.
AGAGUUUGAUCAUGGCUCAGGAUGAACGCUAGCGGGAGGCCUAACACAUGCAAGUCGAACGGGAUCCCCUUCGGGGGUGAGAGUGGCGCACGGGUGAGUAACGCGUAUGCAACCUACCUGUAACAGAGGGAUAGCCCAUAGAAAUGUGGAUUAAUACCUCAUAGUUCUCAGAGAUCGCAUGGUUUUUGAGAUAAAACUCCGGUGGUUACAGAUGGGCAUGCGUGACAUUAGCUAGUUGGUGAGGUAACGGCUCACCAAGGCGACGAUGUCUAGGGGUUCUGAGAGGAUGAUCCCCCACACUGGUACUGAGACACGGACCAGACUCCUACGGGAGGCAGCAGUGAGGAAUAUUGGUCAAUGGGCGCAAGCCUGAACCAGCCAUCCCGCGUGCAGGAUGACGGCCCUAUGGGUUGUAAACUGCUUUUAUACACCAAGAAAAAACAGGACGUGUCCUGAUCUGACGGUAGUGUAUGAAUAAGCAUCGGCUAACUCCGUGCCAGCAGCCGCGGUAAUACGGAGGAUGCAAGCGUUAUCCGGAUUCAUUGGGUUUAAAGGGUGCGUAGGCGGCUUUUUAAGUCAGUGGUGAAAUCCUGUCGCUUAACGAUAGAAUUGCCAUUGAUACUGAGAAGCUUGAGUUCAGUUGAGGUAAGCGGAAUGUGUAGUGUAGCGGAAAUGCUUAGAUAUUACACAGAACACCGAUUGCGAAGGCAGCUUACUAAACUGACACUGACGCUGAUGCACGAAAGCGUGGGGAGCGAACAGGAUUAGAUACCCUAGUAGUCC